GGGGGGUGGCCGGAUCCUGGGCUGUGUCCCCGUGCCCAGUGCUCCUUGGCCUGCGCUGUUGGAUUCGCGCUCCGGCCAGGCAGCCCCCU
This 89-nucleotide microRNA precursor is filed under the name Canis lupus familiaris (dog). RNAcentral's name for it is "mir-8799 microRNA precursor family". It matches the Rfam family "mir-8799 microRNA precursor family". Lineage: Eukaryota; Metazoa; Chordata; Mammalia; Carnivora; Canidae. The record is from Rfam by way of RNAcentral. RNAcentral also lists the same sequence under 1 other name.